This 425-nucleotide ribosomal RNA is filed under the name uncultured bacterium. Its description in RNAcentral is "partial 16S ribosomal RNA". It matches the Rfam family "Bacterial small subunit ribosomal RNA", at positions 354 to 796 of the family's 1533-position model. The record is from RNAcentral.
GUGGGGAAUCUUGCGCAAUGGGCGAAAGCCUGACGCAGCCAUGCCGCGUGAAUGAUGAAGGUCUUAGGAUUGUAAAAUUCUUUCACCGGGGACGAUAAUGACGGUACCCGGAGAAGAAGCCCCGGCUAACUUCGUGCCAGCAGCCGCGGUAAUACGAAGGGGGCUAGCGUUGCUCGGAAUUACUGGGCGUAAAGGGCGCGUAGGCGGACAGUUUAGUCAGAGGUGAAAGCCCAGGGCUCAACCUUGGAAUUGCCUUUGAUACUGGCUGUCUUGAGUACGGGAGAGGUGAGUGGAACUCCGAGUGUAGAUGUGAAAUUCGUAGAUAUUCGGAAGAACACCAGUGGCGAAGGCGACUCACUGGCCCGUUACUGACGCUGAGGCGCGAAAGCGUGGGGAGCAAACAGGAUUAGAUACCCCUGUAGUCC